RNAcentral lists this ribosomal RNA (301 nucleotides) under uncultured bacterium. Its description in RNAcentral is "partial 16S ribosomal RNA". It matches the Rfam family "Bacterial small subunit ribosomal RNA", at positions 509 to 809 of the family's 1533-position model. The record is from RNAcentral.
CAGUCGCCGCGGUAAUACAGAGGGUGCGAGCGUUAAUCGGAAUUACUGGGCGUAAAGCGUGCGCAGGCGGUUAUAUAAGACAGAUGUGAAAUCCCCGGGCUCAACCUGGGAACUGCAUUGGUGACUGCAGCGCUGGAGUUCGGCAGAGGGGGAUGGAAUUCCGCGUGUAGCAGUGAAAUGCGUAGAUAUGCGGAGGAACACCGAUGGCGAAGGCAAUCCCCUGGGCCUGCACUGACGCUCAUGCACGAAAGCGUGGGGAGCAAACAGGAUUAGAUACCCCCGUAGUCCCUGUCUCUUAUAA